UACGUAGGGUGCGAGCGUUAAUCGGAAUUACUGGGCGUAAAGCGUGCGCAGGCGGUCUCGCAAGUCCGAUGUGAAAUCCCCGGGCUCAACCUGGGAACUGCGUUGGAGACUACGGGGCUGGAGUACGGCAGAGGGGGGUGGAAUUCCACGUGUAGCAGUGAAAUGCGUAGAUAUGUGGAGGAACACCGAUGGCGAAGGCAGC
RNAcentral lists this ribosomal RNA (202 nucleotides) under uncultured bacterium. RNAcentral describes it as "partial 16S ribosomal RNA". It matches the Rfam family "Bacterial small subunit ribosomal RNA", at positions 524 to 725 of the family's 1533-position model. The record is from RNAcentral.